AGAGUUUGAUCCUGGCUCAGGAUGAACGCUAACGGCAGGCCUAACACAUGCAAGUCGAGGGGUAACAGGAAAGCUUGCUUUUGCUGACGACCGGCGCACGGGUGCGUAACGCGUAUGCAACCUACCUCAUACUGGAGGAUAGCCCUUGGAAACGAGGAUUAAUACUCCAUGGUAUCAUGAAUUCGCAUGUUUUUGUGAUUAAAGUUUUUCGGUAUGAGAUGGGCAUGCGUCCCAUUAGCUUGUUGGUGAGGUAACGGCUCACCAAGGCAACGAUGGGUAGGGGGCCUGAGAGGGUGGUCCCCCACACUGGUACUGAGACACGGACCAGACUCCUACGGGAGGCAGCAGUGAGGAAUAUUGGACAAUGAGCGAAAGCUUGAUGCAGCCAUACCGCGUGUGUGAAGAAGGCCCGAGGGUUGUAAAGCACUUUCAAUUGUGAGGAAGGUAGUAUAACUAAUACUUAUAUUGCUUGACGUUAACUUUAGAAGAAGCACCGGCUAACCCUGUGCCAGCAGCCGCGGUAAUACAGAGGGUGCAAGCGUUAUUCGGAAUU
Molecule: ribosomal RNA, 553 nt
Filed under: uncultured bacterium
Lineage: Bacteria
Description: bacterial SSU rRNA
Rfam family: Bacterial small subunit ribosomal RNA
Source: RNAcentral